Molecule: ribosomal RNA, 497 nt
Filed under: uncultured bacterium
Lineage: Bacteria
Description: partial 16S ribosomal RNA
Rfam family: Bacterial small subunit ribosomal RNA
Source: RNAcentral
GAUGAACGCUGGCGGCGUGCCUAAUACAUGCAAGUCGAGCGAACAGACGAGGAGCUUGCUCCUCUGACGUUAGCGGCGGACGGGUGAGUAACACGUGGAUAACCUACCUAUAAGACUGGGAUAACUUCGGGAAACCGGAGCUAAUACCGGAUAAUAUAUUGAACCGCAUGGUUCAAUAGUGAAAGACGGUUUUGCUGUCACUUAUAGAUGGAUCCGCGCCGCAUUAGCUAGUUGGUAAGGUAACGGCUUACCAAGGCAACGAUGCGUAGCCGACCUGAGAGGGUGAUCGGCCACCCGGGAACUGGGACCCGGUCCAGACUCCUACGGGAGGCAGCAGUAGGGAAUCUUCCGAAAUGGGCGAAAGCCUGACGGAGCACCGCCGCGUGAGUGAUGAAGGUCUUCGGAUCGUAAAACUCUGUUAUUGGGGAAGAACAAAUGUGUAAGUAACUAUGCACGUCUUGACGGUACCUAAUCAGAAAGCCACGGCUAACUACGUG